CAGCUAACAGGACUACCAAUAGAGGCUUAAAGCAUGAGACUGGGACCAAAGAGAAAGACGGAGAUUAAAGUCGUCUUGCAACUUACCCUCUCUGGCCCUGUGUUGAUUUAAAUGCGGCAGUGAGAGAUUUUUAAAUACUUUUGGAUAAUCCACUCUGUUGAGUUUUCUGGCCUCCACAGUGUGGACAGAUAAAGACCCAGGAGCAGCAUUAUGGAUGGCAGCUGACAUGCUGCAGACAGCUCUGAGGUUAAGUGCUGGCAAUCAUCUGUUCAAU
Oreochromis niloticus (Nile tilapia) is the source of this 274-nucleotide long non-coding RNA. RefSeq lists it as uncharacterized. Lineage: Eukaryota; Metazoa; Chordata; Actinopteri; Cichliformes; Cichlidae. The transcript has 3 exons. The record is from RefSeq and is a predicted model, not a curated record.